Molecule: ribosomal RNA, 490 nt
Filed under: uncultured bacterium
Lineage: Bacteria
Description: partial 16S ribosomal RNA
Rfam family: Bacterial small subunit ribosomal RNA
Source: RNAcentral
AUUGAACGCUGGCGGCAGGCCUAACACAUGCAAGUCGAACGGUAACAGGGAUCAGCUUGCUGAUUCGCUGACGAGUGGCGGACGGGUGAGUAAUGUCUGGGAAACUGCCUGAUGGAGGGGGAUAACUACUGGAAACGGUAGCUAAUACCGCAUAACGUCGCAAGACCAAAGAGGGGGACCUUCGGGCCUCUUGCCAUCGGAUGUGCCCAGAUGGGAUUAGCUAGUAGGUGGGGUAACGGCUCACCUAGGCGACGAUCCCUAGCUGGUCUGAGAGGGUGACCAGCCACACUGGAACUGAGACACGGUCCAGACUCCUACGGGAGGCAGCAGUGGGGAAUAUUGCACAAUGGGCGCAAGCCUGAUGCAGCCAUGCCGCGUGUAUGAAGAAGGCCUUCGGGUUGUAAAGUACUUUCAGCGGGGAGGAAGGGAGUAAAGUUAAUACCUUUGCUCAUUGACGUUACCCGCAGAAGAAGCACCGGCUAACUCCGUG